UGCAAGUCGAACGAUGAACCACCUUCGGGUGGGGAUUAGUGGCGAACGGGUGAGUAACACGUGGGCAAUCUGCCCUGCACUCUGGGACAAGCCCUGGAAACGGGGUCUAAUACCGGAUACUGAUCCUCGCAGGCAUCUGCGAGGUUCGAAAGCUCCGGCGGUGCAGGAUGAGCCCGCGGCCUAUCAGCUAGUUGGUGAGGUAAUGGCUCACCAAGGCGACGACGGGUAGCCGGCCUGAGAGGGCGACCGGCCACACUGGGACUGAGACACGGCCCAGACUCCUACGGGAGGCAGCAGUGGGGAAUAUUGCACAAUGGGCGAAAGCCUGAUGCAGCGACGCCGCGUGAGGGAUGACGGCCUUCGGGUUGUAAACCUCUUUCAGCAGGGAAGAAGCGAAAGUGACGGUACCUGCAGAAGAAGCGCCGGCUAACUACGUGCCAGCAGCCGCGGUAAUACGUAGGGCGCAAGCGUUGUCCGGAAUUAUUGGGCGUAAAGAGCUCGUAGGCGGCUUGUCACGUCGGUUGUGAAAGCCCGGGGCUUAACCCCGGGUCUGCAGUCGAUACGGGCAGGCUAGAGUUCGGUAGGGGAGAUCGGAAUUCCUGGUGUAGCGGUGAAAUGCGCAGAUAUCAGGAGGAACACCGGUGGCGAAGGCGGAUCUCUGGGCCGAUACUGACGCUGAGGAGCGAAAGCGUGGGGAGCGAACAGGAUUAGAUACCCUGGUAGUCCACGCCGUAAACGGUGGGCACUAGGUGUGGGCAACAUUCCACGUUGUCCGUGCCGCAGCUAACGCAUUAAGUGCCCCGCCUGGGGAGUACGGCCGCAAGGCUAAAACUCAAAGGAAUUGACGGGGGCCCGCACAAGCGGCGGAGCAUGUGGCUUAAUUCGACGCAACGCGAAGAACCUUACCAAGGCUUGACAUACACCGGGAAAACCCUGGAGACAGGGUCCCCCUUGUGGUCGGUGUACAGGUGGUGCAUGGCUGUCGUCAGCUCGUGUCCAAAAGG
RNAcentral lists this ribosomal RNA (1004 nucleotides) under Streptomyces pulcher. RNAcentral's name for it is "bacterial SSU rRNA". It matches the Rfam family "Bacterial small subunit ribosomal RNA", at positions 56 to 1072 of the family's 1533-position model. The record is from RNAcentral. Lineage: Bacteria; Bacillati; Actinomycetota; Actinomycetes; Kitasatosporales; Streptomycetaceae.